CGCGGGCCGCGGUGGCCGUCCCUCCGCAGGGCGCAGGCAGCAAACUUUGGCGGCGUCCGCGCGGCGCCGUCUCCGCCGGCGCGCCGGGCUCGCCCCUUUAUAGAGUGUCUGCGCCGCCGCCCGCGCCCCCCCCGCCGCCGCCGCCGGGCGGCCCCUCCCGGAGCGAGCGGCCGCGGGCAGGGCUCCGACCCGGCGCCUUUGUCUCGCCCGGGCCGCUCGGGCGCCGCGCCUCCUGUUCCGGGCGCGCGGGGUCGGCCGGCCGCCUUCGCUGCUCCGCCGCGGCUCUCAGCGCCGCUCAGCGCGGCGGGCCCGCCCGGGCUCAGGUGCCCCCCGCUCUCCGGACCUUCUCGCCCGGCCCCGCGUCCCCUCCGCGGGCUUCCCCCGGCGGCCGGCCGGGCUCGGAGGCUCGCGGCCGGAGCGGAGCGGAGUGCGCACGCCGGGGUGGCAGGACUUCGGCAAGACCAACUUUCCGGUUCGGAAGCGGCGCGGGCCGCGCGGCUCCUCCCCUCCUCUCCCUCCCCUGCGUUCCCCCUCCCUUCCACUCCCCCCUCUCCCCGCCCCCCAACCCGCGGGCCCCACCGACUCCGGAGCGCCCGCCCCGCCCGCUGCUGCCACCGGGCCGCCUCGCCCCCGCGCCAGCCCGCCUGGGCCUCUGCGCCGCCGGCGGCUUCUUAAAUACAGGAAAGGGAGGGGACCGCAGGGCCCCGGUGUUCCCCACCCUAGUCCCCCUUCACCACGGGCCACCGGGCGCCAGCGGAGUGGGCAGCGAGCGCGACCGAAAGUUCCAACUCCACCAAACUCCCGCGCGCGGCCCACCCUUUCCCGGGAUUUCGGGGAUGACACGGGGGCCAGUGGUCCUGUCUGGUGUGAACCGUCAGCACAGAUGGCCUCCUGGAGCUUCCCCGAGUCGUUCGCUGGGGGAAGCGGGCGGUGAGCGGCCAGCCCGGGCGCUCCGCAGGCCGCGAGCUCCCGGCAGGGCUGGUGGCGGGGGUCCGCCUGGGGGAGGAAUCCCCGCCUGCUCCAUCGGACCCGGCCUGGCGCGGCUCGCGGCGCUCGGCGGGCUCCCUUCCAUUCUAGAAUCUUCCCGCUUGCUUCCCAGCCCGCGUUCUUCCGCCUGCCUUUAAUUGUGUGUGGACGUGGGGAGGAUCUUCUAAGUCCCUCCAACGAAGGCAAGUGUGAGACUCUGGCCCUUUAUUUGUAAGAAGCAAGCCUUCAGAUUGCAGAAGUGUCGCGCGGGUCGCCGUGCGUUGCGCGAGUGGGAAGAUGGAGGAGGCCGGCACGCUGCUUUCGUGGACGCAAGUGAACCGGGCGUGAAGGCAGGGUGCGAGCUCUGCCCUUGGCCCAGCCCUGCGUGGGCGCCGUCCCAGAUUCCGGGCGGUGCGGGGUGCAGAGAUCUGGAGAGACUUGCGGGCUCCCCAGCGCAGGCUGCUCUGGGAUUUCGUUGGAAGAUCCGGCAGAGCCUUGGAGGAGAGGGCCCGGGAGGCUGUGUGUGCAGCGGAAACUUGUACGAAUGCCCCCACAGCGGAAAUGGUGCGCACGAGUAAUUUCUGCGGUGCACCCUUUUAAAAAUUGACAAGUGAACAAGAUCAAUUUUUUAAGAAAGCAAAGGUAGAAAACAAAAGGCGUGCGACUUCUUGACUGGCUUGUUCCCGCCUUUCUUCCUUCUCUAUACUCAGAUCAGAAACUUUUCUUUAAUUGCUCUUAUUCAGUGCGACAACUUUUAAUAAAAGCAUUUGCAUUUUAAGCCUGAGUUGCAACCAUAGAUUUAUUGCGAAGUGACAACGUGUCUAUGGAAUAUUUUCGCAGAUGAGACAGGACAUGCGCUCUAGUCGUGCCCAGAUUAAAGCGACGCUGGGCCAUGUGCCUGUGUAGUGCAGACUCGGAGGGGCACACACAUACUCGUCACCACAUGACCACUGUCUAUUAAUAUUGUCAUACCUAAACACUCGCAAAAACAAAAGUUGCUUUUCUUCCCUGUAAUUAAAUCUAAUUUGUUAAUUGUCUUUCCUCUUGCAAUGUUGUUUUCAUCUUGAGGUGACACAUUAUUAUUUUGUCUAAUAUUAUUUACAAAUUAAUGCUGUAUAUUUUACAUUAGUGAAACAUAUAAUUAGGUGUUUGGUUCAAUCGGUAUCAUUCAGAUAAAACAAAGCCUAUCUGCAAGAUUGAUUGGAAGUGGAGUAGUUGGUUCUAAUUUACCAUCACAGUCACAGUUUAUUGAAGCUACCUGGCCCCAGAUUCACAGAAGCUAGUUUUACCUAAGGUGCAUUUGAUGCU
Molecule: long non-coding RNA, 2274 nt
Filed under: Homo sapiens (human)
Lineage: Eukaryota; Metazoa; Chordata; Mammalia; Primates; Hominidae
Description: HSALNT0395377
Source: RNAcentral